This 165-nucleotide ribosomal RNA is filed under the name uncultured bacterium. RNAcentral describes it as "partial 16S rRNA". It matches the Rfam family "Bacterial small subunit ribosomal RNA", at positions 355 to 511 of the family's 1533-position model. The record is from RNAcentral.
UAGGGAAUCUUCCACAAUGGGCGAAAGCCUGAUGGAGCAACGCCGCGUGUGUGAUGAAGGGUUUCGGCUACGUAAAACACUGUUGUAAGAGAAGAAUGACAUUGAGAGUAACUGUUCAAUGUGUGACGGUAUCUUACCAGAAAGGAACGGCUAAAUACGUGCCAA